RNAcentral lists this transfer RNA (61 nucleotides) under Tylos sp. clade F MM-2013. RNAcentral's name for it is "tRNA-Val". The record is from RNAcentral. Lineage: Eukaryota; Metazoa; Arthropoda; Malacostraca; Isopoda; Tylidae.
CCUUAUUAAUUUCAGUUUUUACGAAAGGACUAUUGAAUAUAAAAAAAUUUUUCUUUUAGAA